GGAUUGCCUCAGUAAAGGCGAGUGAAGCGGCAAGAGCUCAAAUUUGAAAGCUGGCUCCUUCGGGGUCCGCAUUGUAAUUUGCAGAGGAUGCUUCGGGAGUGGCCCCCAUCUAAGUGCCCUGGAACGGGCCGUCAUAGAGGGUGAGAAUCCCGUCUGGGAUGGGGUGUCCACGCCCGUGUGAAGCUCCUUCGACGAGUCGAGUUGUUUGGGAAUGCAGCUCUAAAUGGGUGGUAAAUUUCAUCUAAAGCUAAAUACUGGCCGGAGACCGAUAGCGCACAAGUAGAGUGAUCGAAAGAUGAAAAGCACUUUGAAAAGAGAGUUAAACAGCACGUGAAAUUGUUGAAAGGGAAGCGCUUGCGACCAGACUCGCCCACGGGGUUCAGCCGGCAUUCGUGCCGGUGUACUUCCCCGCGGGCGGGCCAGCGUCGGUUUGGGCGGCCGGUCAAAGGCCCUCGGAAUGUAACGCCCCCCGGGGCGUCUUAUAGCCGAGGGUGCCAUGCGGCCAGCCCGGACCGAGGAACGCGCUUCGGCUCGGACGCUGGCAUAAUGGUCGUAAGCGACCCGUCUUGAAACACGGACCAAGGAGUCUAACAUCUACGCGAGUGUUCGGGUGUCAAACCCGUGCGCGCAGUGAAAGCGAACGGAGGUGGGAACCCCUCGGGGUGCACCAUCGACCGAUCCUGAUGUCUUCGGAUGGAUUUGAGUAAGAGCGUAGCUGUUGGGACCCGAAAGAUGGUGAACUAUGCCUGAAUAGGGCGAAGCCAGAGGAAACUCUGGUGGAGGCUCGCAGCGGUUCUGACGUGCAAAUCGAUCGUCAAAUUUGGGUAUAGGGGCGAAAGACUAAUCGAACC
RNAcentral lists this ribosomal RNA (851 nucleotides) under Penicillium sp. DV-2018h. Its description in RNAcentral is "LSU rRNA". It matches the Rfam family "Eukaryotic large subunit ribosomal RNA", at positions 72 to 941 of the family's 3401-position model. Lineage: Eukaryota; Fungi; Ascomycota; Eurotiomycetes; Eurotiales; Aspergillaceae. The record is from RNAcentral.